RNAcentral lists this ribosomal RNA (253 nucleotides) under uncultured bacterium. Its description in RNAcentral is "partial 16S ribosomal RNA". It matches the Rfam family "Bacterial small subunit ribosomal RNA", at positions 524 to 776 of the family's 1533-position model. The record is from RNAcentral.
UACGGGGGGGGCAAGCGUUGUUCGGAAUUACUGGGCGUAAAGGGUUCGUAGGUGGCCACUUAAGUCAGACGUGAAAUCCCUCAGCUUAACUGGGGAACUGCGUCUGAUACUGAGUGGCUUGAGUGCAGGAGAGGAAUGCGGAAUUCCAGGUGUAGCGGUGAAAUGCGUAGAUAUCUGGAGGAACACCGGUGGCGAAGGCGGCAUUCUGGACUGUAACUGAUACUGAGGAACGAAAGCCAGGGGAGCAAACGGG